Molecule: small nuclear RNA, 163 nt
Filed under: Propithecus coquereli (Coquerel's sifaka)
Lineage: Eukaryota; Metazoa; Chordata; Mammalia; Primates; Indriidae
Description: U1 spliceosomal RNA (ENSPCOG00000000810.1)
Rfam family: U1 spliceosomal RNA
About the family: U1 is a small nuclear RNA (snRNA) component of the spliceosome (involved in pre-mRNA splicing).
Source: Rfam by way of RNAcentral
ACACUUACCUGGCAGGGGAGACACCAUGAUCACGAAGGUGGUUUUCCCAGGGUGAGGCUUAUCCAUUGCACUCCGGAUGUGCUGACCCCUGAGAUUUCCCAAACGUGCGAAACUCGACUGCAUAAUUUGUGGUAGUGAGGGACUGCGUUCGCGCUUUCCCCUG